This 301-nucleotide ribosomal RNA is filed under the name uncultured bacterium. RNAcentral describes it as "bacterial SSU rRNA". It matches the Rfam family "Bacterial small subunit ribosomal RNA", at positions 32 to 309 of the family's 1533-position model. The record is from RNAcentral.
AAUCAACGCUGGCGGCGUGCCUCAGACAUGCAAGUCGAACGCGAAAUCCCGAGCAAUCGGGAAAGUAGAGUGGGCGCACGGGUGAGUAACACGUAGGUAAUCUACCGUUCGGAUGGGGGAAUAACAAUCGGAAACGGUUGCUAAUACCGCAUAAUGCAGCGGCACCUAAUGGUGACAGUUGUUAAAGCGGGGGAUCGCAAGACCUCGCGUCUGAAGAGGAGCCUGCGGCGGAUUAGCUUGUUGGUAAGGUAACGGCUUACCAAGGCGACGAUCCGUAGCCGGCCUGAGAGGGCGGUCGGCC